UAUAAGAACCCUUAACCCCCCCUUCUGUCUCCAUCCUUUCCCUUUAUUAUUCAUUGGUUCCUAUGACUUUCGUCAUCUAGAUCUUCUUCUUCUUCUUCUUCUUCUUCUUCUUCUUCUCCUCCUCCUCCUCCUCCUCCUCCUCCUCCUCCUCCGCCUCCUCCUCCUCCUCCUGCUAUUGUUAUUGCUGCUGCUACCACUGCUACCAGCACCGCUACUAUACUAGUUUGUCUUAUAUGCCUUUUUGGGAGAAUCAAGCCGUUGAUACUUCAGCCGUUCUCUUCUCAUCCGUGGCUUCACAUUAGGUUCAGGAAGCAAUGGUGCAGCCAAGGAUGACUUGCCGACCCUUCAAUAGAAUUCUCCUGUUCCUCCUUUGAAGGAAGUUUGAAGAAAGAGGCCGGCAAGUUGUCUUUGGCUACACAUUUUUUCCUGCUCCUCAUGCGAGUCCUGUGAUGACACUGCUUGUAUGGUACCCAAUUCCAGGAGUUGUUCUUAAAUUCUUGGCGUGCUAUUGAUUGAGCAUAACAACAGUUUUUAUCAGACAAAAAAAAUGCUUGAUAUUUCUGUAUCAUUUUUUGUAGCUCUUACAGUAACAGGUACAUUACAUUUUCUUAAGAUUCUCCAUUUUGUUAGCAAUAUGCUCCAUUCAGAUCAAUAUAUUCGUGCUAAUUAAUAGGUCUAUGUGAAAUACAAUUCAAAUUCAAGUAAUACAAUUCAAAUUUGAGUAUUGCUUCCUGUGGCUGUUAAGUGCCAUCCUUUUGAUUUAGAUUAGAGUUUACUCCGUGCAUUUUUAGAUUUAAUUUCCAUGAUUUAAUUUGGUUACUUCUUUUUUUCGAUGAAGAGGGAAGGAGACCUACCCUAUACUUUAUUAACAUUAAUUUGGUUACAUUGAAUGAUAAUACACAUUAGAAAGAAGGAGCUUUCUACCUGCUAAAGGUUUUGAUUCUUGUCAUCUGUUCUGGGCGUGCUCUCCACUUAUGGACUGAAGGGGCCAUUUCUUAUCACUCUCUCUCUCUCUCUCUCUCUCUCUCUCUCUCUCUCUCUCUCUCUCUCUCUCUCUCUCUGUGUGUGUGUGUGUAUGUUGAUUUGCUAACCUUUCCAGUCUACAUUCAUUUGACGGCUUUUUGCAGUACCCUUAACUCCAAAUUAAAAUCAUCUCGCAAAGUAGAACAUUAUAGAUAUUGGAAUUAGGCUCGAUUCAAAUAGCCAACAUCCCUUUGCUCGCAGGUCAAGAUACGACCCCUUAAUUGGGAAAUAUCAUGGCUUAUAUCCCAUUGUACUGAUUAAUUAUUCGGUUAAAAAUAAUCCUUGGUACACAAGCAGAAAUGACAGUUUCACGGCACAAUGAUUAUUGAAGCUCUUGGCAAGAUCGAUUUGGACUAAUGAUGCCUGCUGUUUUUUUUUUUUUUUUUUUUUUUUUUUUUGAUGUCUGGUACAAUUGCUAGAUUAUGUAGCAGGAGUUAAUGAGAUCAUUGGUUGAUGUGAGUCCUAUUUUUAAAUAUUAGCUUACCAACACUCUUUUACCAGGCAAAUAACCCACACAUAUAUAUGCUAAAUUUACACUGUGAUCUUUUGUCAUAUGAUUUUUUUCGUAGGAUUCUUCCAGCUCUUGGGUUUUUGAUCAAUACUUUGUUCCCUUUUCUAACUUCUUGUAUUAGUUCCAUAAUAAGGAUUUGGAGACUGACCGAUAUAUCCAUUUGUGCAUCAUUUCCUUUUCUUUAUCUGCUAAAAAUUCAGCACAAAUGUGUUACUCUCGUUAGGAUGAUCCCCCAAUAUUUUAGCAUUAUUUAGUGCUAGGAGGAUUAUUAAAUGACCAUGAAUCAUAUAUUUAUGCAGCGAUUUCACAUUCUUUUGUAGUACAUUGUUUUUGUCAGUUAUAGGGAUUCAUCACAUGUGCUCAUGGAUUCUCUAAUUUCAGAGAGAUUUGAGAGAGAGUGAGAGAGAGAGGUACAUGAUAUUGUCUACCCUUAUUUCUUCUAGCAGACAAGGUACGUUUUAACCUUCCCGACAACUUACCUUCUACUAGCGACAUGUAAGUUUUGGUUCUAGUAUUUGAUAUCACGUUUCACUUGUAACUCUCAUAAUUUUAAUAUUUGAUGAAACAUUCUGCUGCUAAGACUUCAGCUUCAUCGAUGGAAACAAGAUCGAGAGUCCGUCCAUUGAACGUGGUACUCAUCCGAUGCUGUUUCCCAUAUACAGCUUUCUGAAACCAAAUAGCUCAGUCUUCGAGCACCAAUAGAUAUUUAAUCUAGCCAUAUUUCAGUUUUAGACAUCCAUGAUACAAGCCACCGCAUGCAUGCUUGCAGCAACAUCAUGCAAUAUCAGAAAAUGUUUCCGUUUUUUGGAUGACAAACAUUAGAAAAUGUUGUAAUAGAAGUUCAAUUUGCAGCAAGUUUGCAUGGCACAAUCACAUUCAUUGUAUGUCUUUAGCCAUACUAUUUCUUUCCAGAAGAACACACCUCACUGCAAAACUAAUUACAUUUUUUUUAAAUUUCUUAGAAUAAUGAUGAAAGUGUUGAGAUUAAGACCUCUCUCCAGCACAAGCGCUAAGGAGGCAGGUGCCAACCAGCAGACCAAAGUCUGGUUUGCCCAAAGCACAUCACUUAGAUUUUAACUUUUAUUCAAGAGACGCUAUCUGUAGAACCAGCAUUCUUUAUAGUUGCGAUUUUUCUGAAAUCUCAACAUGGAAUUAAUGGCCGUGAGUCAAUAAAGUCCUCCAUUUUUUUCCCUAACUAAAAGAAGUGAUUGAUUACUCCAGAAAAGGGAAGAGGAGAGAUCAUAUAAGAGCGGAGGGCAAAAGGCCAUAGAGUGGAUAGCAUAGAGUAUUCAAGUCAAGCUGUGGAACAGCAGUAAGGCAUCACUGCUGAGGAAUCAACGCUAGCUGAAAGCAAUUGGUUGAACACUGGCCUACAGCUCAACAUUCAUGACAAAAUUUAGCAUCAUCUUUUCUGAAGCAUUUUGUGACUUUGUUACCGAAGUCAGAUCUUUCUUUUCAUAUUUUCUUAAUUGCUGUAUGGAAAGUACUGGUGCUGCUGAAAUGAAAGGACGGUUAAUUUGGACACUUCCACACUGAUGCUAACUCUGAAAAAUUUUCAAAGAAACUUUUGAUUGCUUAACUAAUGGGAGGUAUUAAAGGACAGCAUUUGUUGGAUACGGUGCGACAUGUGGAUCCCUCUCAAAAGCAAUAUGUUGUGGACUGGGAUAGCAGCUUCUUGGAAAAACCAGAAGAUGAAGAUGCGAGGAUCCAUCUCUUAUGCGCAUUGUGCUUAAAAUUUGGAAAUAAGAUGAAGGCUUAUUUCUCUCUUUUUAUUGUGAAAUGGAAGACAAGAUGAAGUUUUAUUUCACCCGAGUAGAAAAUGCAAUGAGAUGGAAUACUCAUACUGUUUUUUGUAAUUUUAUUUUGUAAUAGAGUAUUCGCAUAUGAAUUAUGUGAAUAGCUUGUAUGACUAGCGUAAUAUAAACUUCACCUACUUUCUGUCGCC
Non-coding RNA from Phoenix dactylifera (date palm), 3479 nucleotides. Lineage: Eukaryota; Viridiplantae; Streptophyta; Magnoliopsida; Arecales; Arecaceae. The record is from RefSeq and is a predicted model, not a curated record.